GGCCCGGUAGUUCAGUUGGUUAGAACGCUAGCCUGUCACGCUAGAGGUCACGAGUUCGAGUCUUGUCCGGGUCG
RNAcentral lists this transfer RNA (74 nucleotides) under Bacillota bacterium. RNAcentral describes it as "tRNA-Asp". It matches the Rfam family "tRNA". From Rfam's summary of the family: Transfer RNA (tRNA) molecules are approximately 80 nucleotides in length. Their secondary structure includes four short double-helical elements and three loops (D, anti-codon, and T loops). Further hydrogen bonds mediate the characteristic L-shaped molecular structure. tRNAs have two regions of fundamental functional importance: the anti-codon, which is responsible for specific mRNA codon recognition, and the 3' end, to which the tRNAs corresponding amino acid is attached (by aminoacyl-tRNA synthetases). tRNAs cope with the degeneracy of the genetic code in two manners: having more than one tRNA (with a specific anti-codon) for a particular amino acid; and 'wobble' base-pairing, i.e. permitting non-standard base-pairing at the 3rd anti-codon position. Lineage: Bacteria; Bacillati; Bacillota. The record is from RNAcentral.